CGCCGAGCCCGCCAAGGUUGCGGGAAAGCAAGCGAGGUGCGGCGGUGGUGCGGGCUCACUUACUCUAUGAAGAAACUGGCGCCCUCCUCCGUGAAGCCCUCCUCCCAGCCGCGCGGCAAGUCUGCGGGAAGGCGAGAAAAGUUGGUCAAACUUGCACAGCCGUGGCGCCCUCCCGCACCCUCUACCGACCGGGCGCUUACCUGAGCGGAUCAUGUGACCGGAGUUGACCGGUUCUCCCGUACGCGGGUGCAGCCAGGUCGUGCAGCGGAGCUGGUCACUACGGGAGAGGUGCACCUGUUAGCGCCGCCGCCCCACACGCCCGCCCGCGGACCCAGCCCCAGCACACGACCCCGCCCGGGUGCCGCCGCCUCUCACGCACUUGAUGAAGAAGACGCGGCCGUCCCGACAGACGCCGUAGGACCAGUGCUCAGUUGGACAAGAGAAGGAGCCUUGAUCUGCCCCCAAAAUACCAGGACCUGGGCACCCGAACAAUUCUACCUCAUCCUUUCAGCAACAUCUCAAUGGAAGAAUGGGAAACACUCCUCACUCUGCAAGUGGGUGGAGCCGGAGCCGGAGCCGGAAGCUAGGUGCUGGGCAAGGGUCAGGCCAGCCUUGCAGAGACACAGCUGCAGGUCUGAGGAGGCUCACUUGAGGGUGCAGCUGUCUGCACUGGGCACUAGAAUUAGAGAUCAGGAGUAGGAUGGACCCUGAAGGGGGCGCAGUGGAGCUCUGUCAGUGUUUCUUGACCUGUGGGUCUCCACCCCUCGGAGUAGCAUCUCAGAUUACGUUUCAUAACAAUAGCAGUGAAAUAAUUUUGUCGUUGAGGGUCACCACAACAUGACCGCUGCUCCAGAGGAACCUAUUAGGGGUGCAGGUGAACCUGUGGGAGGGGUGUGGAGUGCUAGGAAGACCAUGAAGCGAUCCUUCCUCUGAAGCAGUCAUUAGGGAGAGAGGUGCUGUGACUGGGAAUGUGGAGCCUUCAGCCUCUGAUCCAGUUCUUGACCAAAUGAACACAGGGAGAUAGCUUCUCUCUUUUUGUUGACAUUUAAAAAAAAUUGACAUUGUUUUAUUUUCCCUGUCAGGCAUGGGCUGUGUGUGUGGUGUGGUGGGCUCAGUACAGGGAUGGAUGGUGGAGGGGGUGGAGGAGAUGAUGACUUGGUUGGGAAGUCUGGAGGAAGGACUCAUGGCACACUAUAGCUAAGCUACCAGUAAGGUUGAGAAACUCUUGGAAAUCUAGCUGUCCAUCGCUGUUGAGGUCCUGCGUCUUCAUCAUGCAUUCAAGGACACCAGGGUCCUUCUGUUUCUUCCUGAAGGCGGCCAGCUCUGUGUUCAUGAAAGAAAGGAACUCAGUUUUGGAGAAUUGACAGCUAUUCCCAUCCUUCCCACUGUACUUCUGGAAAACAGCAAUCAGGGACUCCAUGCAUCUCUCAUGGAGGCUGGGACAGGAGUGGCCAGCAUCUCUUAUUAAACACUCAUUUGAAAACAAUAUAUUAAAUGGACAAGAAUAUGAAAACACAGUUAAUAGAAAUGAAACACAAGUGGCUUUUAAGUAAAUGGGAAGAUAAUUGACCAUUGCAUAACAUCAAGUAUACAAAUGAAAAUUACAGUGGGAUUCUAUUUUGUAGAUGUCAGAUUAGAAGAGAAAACCAUUCUUGUUCAUUGUUGCUGGGACUAAAAAAUGAUUCUGCCUUCUUGUGAUGGUUUGUAUAUGCUUGACCCAGGCAGUGACACUAUUAGGAGGUGUGGCCCUCUUGGAGUGGGUGUGGCCUUGUUGGAGUGGGUGUGUCAUUGUAGGUGUGGGCUUUAAGAUGCUGAUCCUAGCUGCCUGGAAGCCAGUCUUCUAGCAUCCUUCAUAUAAAGAUAUAGAACUCUCAGCUCCUCCUGAACCUUGCCUGCCUGGACACUGCCAUGUUACCACCAUGAUGAUAAUGAACUGAACAUCUGCACCUGUAAGCCAGCCCCAAAUAAAUGUUGUCCUUUAUAAGAGUUGCCUUGGUCAUGGUGUCUGUUCACCGCAGUAGAACCUUAAGACAUUCCUCAAGGGCAGCUUGGCCGCAGCUGUUACACACUGCUUUGACCAGGCAACUCCACCCCAGGAGCUCAUCCACAUGAAAUAUUCCAUCUCCUCAGUGUGACUCAGCUGCUAAGAGUGAUGGCUCAGGUUAAGAGGAUUGGCUGCUCUUCCAGAGGACCUGAGUUCAAUUCCCGGCAACCACAUGCUAGUCCCUAACAUCUAUAAUGGGAUCUGGUGUCGUCUUCUGG
This 2262-nucleotide long non-coding RNA is filed under the name Rattus norvegicus (Norway rat). RNAcentral describes it as "long non-coding RNA NONRATT003079". Lineage: Eukaryota; Metazoa; Chordata; Mammalia; Rodentia; Muridae. The record is from RNAcentral.